RNAcentral lists this ribosomal RNA (117 nucleotides) under Actinomadura kijaniata. The record is from RNAcentral. Lineage: Bacteria; Bacillati; Actinomycetota; Actinomycetes; Streptosporangiales; Thermomonosporaceae.
UUCGGUGGUUAUGGCGAAGGGGAAACACCCGGUCCCAUCCCGAACCCGGAAGUUAAGCCCUUCAGCGCCGAUGGUACUGCAUGGGAGACUGUGUGGGAGAGUAGGACGCCGCCGGAC